UGUAGUUGGUAAAGUGAGUGG
Molecule: non-coding RNA, 21 nt
Filed under: Arabidopsis thaliana (thale cress)
Lineage: Eukaryota; Viridiplantae; Streptophyta; Magnoliopsida; Brassicales; Brassicaceae
Source: RNAcentral